CAACAAGCUUUUUAGGGGGGUCU
RNAcentral lists this non-coding RNA (23 nucleotides) under Rattus norvegicus (Norway rat). The record is from RNAcentral. Lineage: Eukaryota; Metazoa; Chordata; Mammalia; Rodentia; Muridae.